UACGUAGGGACCGAGCGUUGUCCGGAAUCAUUGGGCGUAAAGAGCGUGUAGGCGGCCACUUAAGUCCUGCGUGAAAUCUCGGGGCUCAACCCCGAGCGGUCGUGGGAAACUGUCGGGCUAGAGUCCGGAAGAGGCGAGUGGAAUUCCUGGUGUAGCGGUGAAAUGCGCAGAUAUCAGGAGGAACACCAAUGGCGAAGGCAGCUCGCUGGGACGGUACUGACGCUGAGACGCGAAAGCGUGGGGAGCAAACAGG
RNAcentral lists this ribosomal RNA (253 nucleotides) under uncultured bacterium. RNAcentral describes it as "partial 16S ribosomal RNA". It matches the Rfam family "Bacterial small subunit ribosomal RNA", at positions 524 to 776 of the family's 1533-position model. The record is from RNAcentral.